This 1029-nucleotide long non-coding RNA is filed under the name Oncorhynchus mykiss (rainbow trout). RNAcentral's name for it is "lncRNA (ENSOMYG00000048676.1)". The record is from RNAcentral. Lineage: Eukaryota; Metazoa; Chordata; Actinopteri; Salmoniformes; Salmonidae.
AUGUACGGCAUACUACAUAUACAUAUUUCAUACUACAUCUACUACAUACUACAUCUACAUACUACAUCUAUAUACUACAUACUACAUCUACAUACUACAUCUACAUACUACAUCUAUAUACUGCAUACUACAUCUACUACAUACUACAUCUACAUACUGCAUUUACAUACUGCAUCUACAUCUACAUACUGCAUCUAUAUACUGCAUACUACAUCUACAUACUGCAUCUACAUACUACAUCUAUAUACUACAUCUAUAUACUGCAUCUACAUACUACAUCUAUAUACUGCAUCUACAUACUACAUCUACAUACUGCAUCUACAUACUACAUCUACAUACUGCAUCUACAUACUACAUCUAUAUACUGCAUACUACAUCUACAUACUGCAUCUACAUACUACAUCUAUAUACUGCAUACUACAUCUACAUACUACAUCUAUAUACUGCAUCUACAUACUACAUCUACAUACUGCAUCUACAUCUACAUACUGCAUGUACGGCAUACUACAUAUACAUAUUUCAUACUACAUCUACUACAUACUACAUCUACAUACUACAUCUAUAUACUACAUACUACAUCUACAUACUACAUCUACAUCUAUAUACUACAUCUAUAUACUGCAUACUACAUCUACAUACUACAUCUACAUACUACAUCUAUAUACUGCAUACUACAUCUACAUACUACAUCUAUAUACUACAUACUACAUCUAUAUACUACAUACUACAUCUACAUACUACAUCUUCAUACUACAUCUACAUACUACAUCUGUAUACUACAUGUACUACAUACUGCAUCUACAUACUACAUACUACAUACUAAAUCUACAUACUGCAUGUACUGCAUACUACAUCUAUAUACUGCAUACUACAUCUAUAUACUACAUACUACAUCUAUAUACUACAUACUACAUCUACAUCUUCAUACUACAUCUACAUACUACAUCUAUGUACUACAUGUACUACAUACUACAUCUAUAUACUACAUGUACUACAUACUGCAUCUACAUACUACAUACUACAUACUAA